UGGGGAAUAUUGCACAAUGGGCGCAAGCCUGAUGCAGCCAUGCCGCGUGUAUGAAGAAGGCCUUCGGGUUGUAAAGUACUUUCAGCGGGGAGGAAGGCGAUGCGGUUAAUAACCGCGUUGAUUGACGUUACCCGCAGAAGAAGCACCGGCUAACUCCGUGCCAGCAGCCGCGGUAAUACGGAGGGUGCAAGAGUUAAUCGGAAUUACUGGGCGUAAAGCGCACGCAGGCGGUCUGUCAAGUCGGAUGUGAAAUCCCCGGGCUCAACCUGGGAACUGCAUCCGAAACUGGCAGGCUUGAGUCUCGUAGAGGGGGGUAGAAUUCCAGGUGUAGCGGUGAAAUGCGUAGAGAUCUGGAGGAAUACCGGUGGCGAAGGCGGCCCCCUGGACGAAGACUGACGCUCAGGUGCGAAAGCGUGGGGAGCAAACA
Molecule: ribosomal RNA, 427 nt
Filed under: uncultured bacterium
Lineage: Bacteria
Description: partial 16S ribosomal RNA
Rfam family: Bacterial small subunit ribosomal RNA
Source: RNAcentral